Molecule: long non-coding RNA, 5475 nt
Organism: Canis lupus familiaris (dog)
Lineage: Eukaryota; Metazoa; Chordata; Mammalia; Carnivora; Canidae
Exons: 6
Source: RefSeq, a predicted model, not a curated record
GAAGCAAAGGCCACAGGCACAGACUGUUGUGGUUGGAGGGAGAAGAGAAAGGAGGAAGGGAGGGCAGCGGGCAGGGAGGGAGGAGACAGAAAAUAAAGGCCGGGCAUUGUCCAGCUCUCCCUCCACGCACCCAAGUGGAUUUGCAAAGACGAAACCUCUUGCCUCCAACCUCCACGUCCAUAAGAACACUUCCCAGGCCAAAGUUUAGCUAAAUGGAGGAAAUCAAGAAAUGCAAGGAACUCUGUGCAGGGACUAAAAAUUAUUUACCAAUAAGUCUGCCUGCAGCUUUUAUUUUAUUUAUGUAUUUUUAAAGAUUGUAUUUAUUUACUCAUGAGAGACCCAGAGAGAGAGGCAGAGACACAGGCCGAGGGAGAAGCAGGCUCCAUGCAGGGAGCCUGAUGCAGGGACUCCAUCCCGGGACCCCGGGGUCACGCCCUGGGCCCAAGGCAGACCCCUCAACCGCUGAGCCCCCCCAGGGGCCCCUACCUACAGCUUUUAAUGACAGGUUUUUAUUUGGAAGCUCGGACAGGCCUCGUUUCUGCAGGAACCCACGUGGUAACGAAGCAGACACGCUAAGCGAAGGAGGAGGCGUGCAGACAGCGGGCUGGCGUGGGGUGGGGGGCGCCCACAGCAGCAAAGCUCUCCGGAAUCUUCUUACAACUCAGGGGCCCGGUGGGAAGCUGAAAAAAGCAGAAAGAAAUAGCAUGGACGGUAUUGAUGACGGUCUGGCUCCCUGGAGAACAGCUAAGGAGAAACUGCAACACCAAUGUGGGCUCCAGCCAAGGGGGAGAAGACACCCUAAAAGUUGUUUCUUCAACAAGGAAAGCGUACCCUGGGAGCACAUCCUGUCCCAGGAGAAAUGCUGACGGGUAAGCCAGCCCCGCGGAAGAACAGACUGACUCGGACUCCGCGGCGUGUCCCCUGCUGGAGCUCCCGAGUAUCACCCGAAGACAGCAUCUGCUUCUGCUCCCAAGAGCAGCACCGAGCACUUCCCCACCUAUUCUGGAGUCGAGGCUGGCUGUCAGAAUGAAGGGUUGGAGAAGCAGAAGCCAGAGCACACCUGAGCCCUUGGGGCUCAGGACCCGGAGGGUAGCCCGGGCUGCACAGGGAUGGGGGCCCCAAGGGGGGUGAACAGUGCCUGCCUGACCUGCUCCCUGAGGUCAGCAGCCCAAAGAGGGGAGGACCUAACCUGUUCCUGGUCACCAGCCCCUGGAAGGACAAAAGGGCCCCCCAAGCCCAGGAAAUCGUGAUGUAAAUCCCGGGUCAGGUUUAAGGCUUCGGCAUUCUUUUUCUAAGAGAUUAGAAUGGCCCGCUACUUUCCCAACUGCAAGGCUGGAGUGCAGAAGGCCAGAACCUGGUGUGCUGGUCACAGUCGGGGAUCGCACUAGAAGGGUCCGGCACUCUCCCCAAUCUGGGUUUUGCAAUUCAGUACAGGCUGAUAUGGAGAGGCAGGUACCGGUGGGCUCACCGCACUCCAGGUAGGGGCAAAGCACACGGUUUAAGAAAAGGGACCGUUUUCCAUCCUCCCUCCAGGCAAAUGAACGUGACCCUUCCAUGGAAGCCUCGCCUUUUUCAAUGAACAGGUACCAGGCCCUGAAAUGCCUCCCCUCUUGCAGAGGACAAUUCCGGAUUGGGCUGCGGAUGCGGCUCUGGAAGCAGCUUCCUAAUUGAAAUCAGACCAGCACACCAGUUCCAGGUGAGGAGGAUGCGCUAUCUUUUGCGACGUUAGGCCUCGAGAAAAGGAAUCUGCCCUCAGACAACAAGGACAGAAAAUGGAAAAGAAAUGAAGUUUCAUAUAUAAGGAUCUGAGCUGCUGCUCUCAGGUGUCUUCUGUACCAUUCUGGAAGAUCUCUGCACUGCCUUUCUUUCAGAGCCAGUAAAAUGCAUGAUGAAAUUUUCUAAAUGUCUCAUGUCUACAAAACCGCUUUGAAGAUCAAGUUACAUCUUUUUCUUAUUAUGAAAAAAAUCAAGGGUUCUUGCAGCAAAGGUGAAAUUUUUGCCAUGGUUGAAAAAAACUCAAUGAAUUUCAGACUAUGGAACAGAUGCUGCGGAAAACAUCACAGACACAGACAUGAAGUCUCAGAAAGGCUAAGGGACUCGUCCAGAGUCAGAGAGCAAGAUCACAGCCAAGCCGGGAGUCAAGUAUGCGUAUCCUGACGUCCAAGCCUUUUCUUUCCAAAAGGACGACUGCAGAAGCCAAGGAGGCUACCACAGGGCCUCCUGACCCCAGAGCUGUGUGAUCUAGGCGCUUCCCUCCUACACCUAUACCCACGCAGCAAACGGAAACUGUGUUUUUAUCAUCCAUUAAGUGGUGUCAUCUCAAGUGACCUAAAGGGUCUCUGAUUCUUAAUCCAGAUGUUGCUCAGAUUCCGGAAGCCAAGGAUGGGCUGCAAGAGAAGCAAUGUAAGCCCAAGGUCUCAGGUUACCUGUUCGGGGCAGUGACGGCAGAAAUAUGGACUCCCAUCCACUCAGGCUAAUACUGCUGAUGGUUCAUCCUCUCUUAGAGAAAGAGCGGAGCGGCAAGCCUGUCUUACCUACAGAACGCUGUAGAGCGGCCGCAGGGAUCUCCAACACAGAGCGUCCGGCGAAUGUCCUCUCCUUGGCUCCUCUGGUUUGCCCCUCGUGGGAAACUCCAAAGGAUGGAUGAGAUGAAAACCCUCGCACACUACCCUGGAAGUCUUCGCACCGGGUGGCAUCACCACCCCGAGCAACCCUUGCUGCGCUGUAACCAGUAGUCCCCCGUGCACGUGCAGAGAACGUGCAGAGAACGGUCUCCAAGUGGAGGGUACACAAUUUUUUUUUUUAAUGACAGUGAUUUCAUAUUUACUAAGUCCCUACUAUGCUGGGUCCCUCACGAUGCAUGGAAACAGCACAGCCCCUGGGCUCCACUGUAAUGGAAUCCGAGGUCAGAAACAAACAUUUCGUGACCAUCCUUGUAUUUCUUCAGAACUGCUGCACCGGCAUAAGCAUGCAGUAACGCACGUAACUACCAGCAGUAAGGUAGUGAGCUGUUUAUACAGAGCUCCUUCCUUCUGUUCUAGAUUAACACCCUUGUUUAAAAAAGAAAAAAAUGCUUUCCUUUUCCUUAGAACCAUUUUCUUUUCAUCUCUCCUCCGAGAAGUGAGAUAAAAAGGGAGAAGAAGAAGAUGCCCUUCCCAUCAUGUCACAUCAGAGAUCGCUCAAGGUGGUAACUUUGAGAAGACGUCAGAGGAAAUGAAGGGGCCUUGAAGCUGUCCCAGCACCAAGGACUUGAAUGGGGGGUAAAAAAAAAAAAAAAAAAAAAAAAAAACCACUUCUGCCUCUGUGUUCGGCUCUUCCCUUUCUCCCCAGCUCAGACACCUGUCAAUCACCCCGGGUUUGCCCAAGUGACGCACCACAUCCUUGAUCACAGAACGUCAGCCCUCAAGCACCGCCACAUCAGCCGAGUGCCUGGGCACCUAGCGUGGAGUGAGGCUGCCUACGGCGCUGCCUCAGACUUAAGAGCCCAUCAGGACUCCCAAGGGGCUGUCAGUUCUGGCUCCUUCAACACCCGUUUCUCCCGCGCCGUCAAGAGAGCCGAGUGUGAGCAGACAGUGCAGAAGCCCCAGGGGUAGGAAAGAAGGGCAAGAGGAGGUCAAGAACAUUACCAACUGUGCCAACGGCAACUGUCCCGGUCCAUCCAUCUGCCAGAUUUCUUCCUGGCUACAGGGGCAGGAGGCCCUUUGGGUUGAAAAGAGUCUUGGACAGAAGCACUCCCAGUUCACUCAUCCCUCCGCUGCAACGCCGGCGCUAGGACUAAGAUCCGUGCAAACCAGACAGCCACCAUCUACUGACUGCUCAGAUAUGCUCCUUGCAUAUUGUAACAUUAAUUCUGAUCGUCAACAAGAGCUACAUGAUGAAAUUCACUGGUUACGUUGAGACACGAAGUACAGAGAAUUUAAGUCACUGGGCCAAAGCCAUGGCUGGUGAGUGGCAAAGUGGACAUUCAAACCCAGGUGCACCUGGAAUCCAAGUUCAUCUUCUCGGCCCCCAAGGACCACCAAGUCAAACACCCUGGCCAACUCAAGCUUAUCCUCUUCUUGUCAUCCGACUCAGACCUGGGAUUCUUGUGGGUGGAGCUACCAAAAUCUAAAGGAGAAGUGGUAUGUUCCUACUAGGGCCAGCGUGUGGCCGAGGUCUGGGAGCACCAUGGCUCUUCACGUGAUGUAAACAGUGUGCUCUGCAGUUAAACAACCAUGGGUACGUGUCCUGCAGCCUUCCUGGCACAUGAAACCUCCCUUUCUCUAGGCCUAAGGCUAGACCUCACCUAUCUCAGUAAUACCCCAAGGCCCAGGACCAGUGAGCACUUAAAUUCUGCGGUCUGUGUAGCUUUUUCUUGAAGAUCUCCAAGGACAAAGACUGUCCAAUGGCCUCUAGCAAGUCACACGGAGGAUUCUGGUCCCUGAGAUGGAAAGUGUGCAAUCCCUUCCAUUUGCCUUUUUUCUACUUGCUGCGGAUGGAGAGAGGUCUUACCAGUCCGAGGUCGCCUCUACACCCAUCUCAAGGAAUACAGACCAGCCCUGUCACUCUCUGACUGACCUACAAUAAUAUACAUUCUAGCAUAAAAUGGUUGCAGCCCAGGCCACUGAAAUGAUAAAAGGUGGCACCACGAAACGAUUAACCACAGGCACAUUUAUCAACCCUUCCCACAGAAAGAGGCUCAUUUCUAAACAGUGCCGUCAGCCAGACUAUUUCCAACCUAUACUCAAUUCCUAGACAACAGUCAUGGUUGCUGAAAUAACUGCAGCUAUUUCUAGCCGGGCAAAAUAAAUACAGGCUGAAAGAAAAGUAUAACUUGUAGUAAAAGAUCUAACACUAUUGCUCUUGAUUAAGGAUGCUCUUUGCUCUUCAGCAUCUUCUCCAGAACAGCUGGGGAGUGGCUCUCAGAAGCGGGUUGUUUUGCUUUUUGCUUUCAGGGCUUGUGUUUGUACGUCCUCCACACGCAGGACAGUUGCCCACACGGCCCAUUCUCUCGUUCCCUCAUCGACACGAUCUUUCCUCCUGCUUCCGGAUUCUCAUCCCAAGCUCAAAGGGAACAUGGAAACACAAAACCAAAGCAGUGGCGGCACUCCUUCCCUUGCUCGGUCCCAAACCAUGUUUCUGCCUUGCUCCACAAAAACCGAAGUGGCCAUGUGUUUUAGCGCCAGCAGACCCCACGGACAGAUACAGCGAGGAUCAGGGGCUGGUCAGGUGCUGUUCCACCCUGUUCAAAGUCGGACUUUACGUGAACAGAGCUGCAGGCACCACCACCCCCCCUCAGGGUCAACCAACCACAAGAAAGGUCUGGAUCCCACACUGCCCACAGAAGACGUUUCCUCUUAAUAUUGGGCUCAGACUCAGAUAGGAAUUUGGUAUGAAACUUGAGUUCUUGGGGUGCCUGGGCGGCUCGGUAGGUGAAGCGUCUGCCUCUGGCUCGGGUCAUGACCCCAGGACCCUGGGAUGGAGCCUGCAUCAAGC